Molecule: ribosomal RNA, 549 nt
Filed under: Campylobacter jejuni
Lineage: Bacteria; Pseudomonadati; Campylobacterota; Epsilonproteobacteria; Campylobacterales; Campylobacteraceae
Description: partial 23S ribosomal RNA
Rfam family: Bacterial large subunit ribosomal RNA
Source: RNAcentral
GUAGCGAAAGCGAGUCUGAAUAGGGCGCUUAGUCAGAUGCUGCAGACCCGAAACGAAGUGAUCUAUCCAUGAGCAAGUUGAAGCUAGUGUAAGAACUAGUGGAGGACUGAACCCAUAGGCGUUGAAAAGCCCCGGGAUGACUUGUGGAUAGGGGUGAAAGGCCAAUCAAACUUCGUGAUAGCUGGUUCUCUCCGAAAUAUAUUUAGGUAUAGCGUUGUGUCGUAAUAUAAGGGGGUAGAGCACUGAAUGGGCUAGGGCAUACACCAAUGUACCAAACCCUAUCAAACUCCGAAUACCUUAUAUGUAAUCACAGCAGUCAGGCGGCGAGUGAUAAAAUCCGUCGUCAAGAGGGAAACAACCCAGACUACCAGCUAAGGUCCCUAAAUCUUACUUAAGUGGAAAACGAUGUGAAGUUACUUAAACAACCAGGAGGUUGGCUUAGAAGCAGCCAUCCUUUAAAGAAAGCGUAAUAGCUCACUGGUCUAGUGAUUUUGCGCGGAAAAUAUAACGGGGCUAAAGUAAGUACCGAAGCUGUAGACUUGCACACAA